GUAGUGGCGAAUGAAGCGGGAAAAGCUCAAGUUUGAAAUCCGGCGGGCAACCUCCGGAGUUGUAAGCUGAUGAGGUAUCGACCGACAUGGUCCGGGCCCAAUUUCCUUGGAACAGGAGGUCAUGGAGGGUGAGAACCCCGUCCGUGGCUCGGGUGCCAUUGUCCCUGUGUCAUGCCCUCUAAGAGUCGGGUUGUUUGGGAAUGCAGCUCAAAAUGGGUGGUAAAUUUCAUCUAAAGCUAAAUAUUGGCGAGAGACCGAUAGCAAACAAGUAGAGUGAUCGAAAGAUGAAAAGUACUUUGAAAAGAGAGUGAAACAGUACGUGAAAUUGUUGAAAGGGAAGCGUUUGGCAUCAGCCCUUGGCGUCCGUCGAACAUCCAGGCUUCUGUCUGGUGCACUCGUCGGCCGUCGGGCCAGCGUCGGCUCUGCCCGUCGGAGAAAGGCCUGAGGGAUGUGGCUCACCUUCGGGGGAGCGUUAUAACCUCGGGUGUCAUGCGAUGUGGUGGGGCCGAGGUCCGCG
RNAcentral lists this ribosomal RNA (517 nucleotides) under uncultured Archaeorhizomycetes. RNAcentral's name for it is "eukaryotic LSU rRNA". It matches the Rfam family "Eukaryotic large subunit ribosomal RNA", at positions 83 to 604 of the family's 3401-position model. Lineage: Eukaryota; Fungi; Ascomycota; Archaeorhizomycetes. The record is from RNAcentral.